RNAcentral lists this ribosomal RNA (445 nucleotides) under uncultured bacterium. Its description in RNAcentral is "bacterial SSU rRNA". It matches the Rfam family "Bacterial small subunit ribosomal RNA", at positions 354 to 796 of the family's 1533-position model. The record is from RNAcentral.
GUAAGGAAUAUUGGUCAAUGGAGGCAACUCUGAACCAGCCAUGCCGCGUGCAGGAAGACGGCCCUCUGGGUUGUAAACUGCUUUUAUCCGGGAAUAAACCUGCCUUCGUGAAGGUAGCUGAAUGUACCGGAAGAAUAAGGAUCGGCUAACUCCGUGCCAGCAGCCGCGGUAAUACGGAGGAUCCAAGCGUUAUCCGGAUUUAUUGGGGUUAAGGGGUGCGUAGGCGGCCUGUUAAGUCAGGGGUGAAAGACGGUGGCUCAACCAUCGCAGUGCCCUUGAUACUGAUGGGCUUGAAUGGACUAGAGGUAGGCGGAAUGUGACAAGUAGCGGUGAAAUGCAUAGAUAUGUCACAGAACACCGAUUGCGAAGGCAGCUUACUAUGGUCCUAUUGACGCUGAGGCACGAAAGCGUGGGGAUCGAACAGGAUUAGAAACCCCAGUAGUCC